RNAcentral lists this ribosomal RNA (459 nucleotides) under uncultured bacterium. RNAcentral describes it as "partial 16S ribosomal RNA". It matches the Rfam family "Bacterial small subunit ribosomal RNA", at positions 338 to 795 of the family's 1533-position model. The record is from RNAcentral.
CCUACGGGAGGCUGCAGUGAGGAAUAUUGGUCAAUGGGCUUACGCCUGAACCAGCCAAGUCGCGUGAGGGAAGACUGCCCUAUGGGUUGUAAACCUCUUUUGUCAGGGAGCAAUUGGCGCUACGUGUAGCGUUAUCGAGAGUACCUGAAGAAAAAGCAUCGGCUAACUCCGUGCCAGCAGCCGCGGUAAUACGGAGGAUGCGAGCGUUAUCCGGAUUUAUUGGGUUUAAAGGGUGCGUAGGCGGAAUGCCAAGUCAGCGGUAAAAUCGCGGGGCUCAACCUCGCUCCGCCGUUGAAACUGGCGUGCUUGAGUGGGCGAGAAGUAUGCGGAAGGCGUGGUGUAGCGGUGAAAUGCAUAGAUAUCACGCAGAACUCCGAUUGCGAAGGCAGCAUACCGGCGCCCAACUGACGCUGAAGCACGAAAGCGUGGGUAUCGAACAGGAUUAGAUACCCUGUAGUC